Molecule: small nuclear RNA, 116 nt
Organism: Portunus trituberculatus (swimming crab)
Lineage: Eukaryota; Metazoa; Arthropoda; Malacostraca; Decapoda; Portunidae
Product: U5 spliceosomal RNA
Exons: 1
Source: RefSeq, a predicted model, not a curated record
CAUCAUGGGUUCCCAACAAAAUGCAUUCAUAUUUCGCCUUUUACUAAAGAUUUCCGUGGAAAGUAACAACUCGAUGAAUCAAAGAAUUUUUUUUUUUUUUUAUUGUAUUCAGUUGA